RNAcentral lists this ribosomal RNA (411 nucleotides) under uncultured Sulfurimonas sp. RNAcentral describes it as "bacterial SSU rRNA". It matches the Rfam family "Bacterial small subunit ribosomal RNA", at positions 506 to 916 of the family's 1533-position model. Lineage: Bacteria; Pseudomonadati; Campylobacterota; Epsilonproteobacteria; Campylobacterales; Sulfurimonadaceae. The record is from RNAcentral.
UGCCAGCCGCCGCGGUAAUACGGAGGGUGCAAGCGUUACUCGGAAUCACUGGGCGUAAAGGACGCGUAGGCUGGUUGGUAAGUCUGAUGUGAAAUCCAAUGGCUCAACCAUUGAACUGCAUUGGAAACUACCAACCUAGAGUAUGGGAGGGGGAGAUGGAAUUAGUAGUGUAGGGGUAAAAUCCGUAGAUAUUACUAGGAAUACCGAAAGCGAAGGCGAUCUCCUGGAACAUUACUGACGCUAAGGCGUGAAAGCGUGGGGAGCAAACAGGAUUAGAUACCCUGGUAGUCCACGCCCUAAACGAUGAACACUAGUCGUCGCCCUGCUAGUCAGGGCGGUGAUGCACUUAACAGAUUAAGUGUUCCGCCUGGGGAGUACGGUCGCAAGAUUAAAACUCAAAGGAAUUGACGG